RNAcentral lists this ribosomal RNA (403 nucleotides) under Veillonella parvula. RNAcentral describes it as "bacterial SSU rRNA". It matches the Rfam family "Bacterial small subunit ribosomal RNA", at positions 28 to 409 of the family's 1533-position model. Lineage: Bacteria; Bacillati; Bacillota; Negativicutes; Veillonellales; Veillonellaceae. The record is from RNAcentral.
GACGAACGCUGGCGGCGUGCUUAACACAUGCAAGUCGAACGAAGAGCGAUGGAAGCUUGCUUCUAUCAAUCUUAGUGGCGAACGGGUGAGUAACGCGUAAUCAACCUGCCCUUCAGAGGGGGACAACAGUUGGAAACGACUGCUAAUACCGCAUACGAUCUAAUCUCGGCAUCGAGGAUAGAUGAAAGGUGGCCUCUACAUGUAAGCUAUCACUGAAGGAGGGGAUUGCGUCUGAUUAGCUAGUUGGAGGGGUAACGGCCCACCAAGGCGAUGAUCAGCAGCCGGUCUGAGAGGAUGAACGGCCACAUUGGGAUGAGACACGGCCCAGACUCCUACGGGAGGCAGCAGUGGGGAAUCUUCCGCAAUGGACGAAAGUCUGACGGAGCAACGCCGCGUGAGAGAU